GUGGGGUUGUGGUCAGUGGUAAAGUGCAUGCCUACCAUGUGUGAGGCACUGGGUUCGAUCCUCAGCACCACA
Molecule: transfer RNA, 72 nt
Filed under: Marmota monax (woodchuck)
Lineage: Eukaryota; Metazoa; Chordata; Mammalia; Rodentia; Sciuridae
Description: tRNA.Gly
Source: RNAcentral